Molecule: small nucleolar RNA, 106 nt
Organism: Malania oleifera
Lineage: Eukaryota; Viridiplantae; Streptophyta; Magnoliopsida; Santalales; Ximeniaceae
Source: RefSeq, a predicted model, not a curated record
AAUUCGUGGUGUGGACAUAUGUUCAUUAAAUCCUUAAAUCUCUCCUAGCUAGCCUAGAAUGUCUCAUCACCUUUUUGCAUGAACUUACUGAUCUGCUCUUGUAGGU